CACGUAGGGCGCAAGCGUUGUCCGGAAUUAUUGGGCGUAAAGAGCUCGUAGGCGGUCUGUGCGUCCGCUGUGAAAACUCGGGGCUUAACCCCGAGCCUGCAGUGGAUACGGGCAGACUAGAGGUAGGUAGGGAGAAUGGAAAUUUCCCGGGUGUAGCGGUGAAAUGCGCAGAUAUCAGGAAGAACACCAACGGCGAAGGCAGCUCGCUGGACGGAACUGACGCUUAAGGCGCGAAGCGUGGAGCAACAAGG
Molecule: ribosomal RNA, 251 nt
Filed under: uncultured bacterium
Lineage: Bacteria
Description: partial 16S ribosomal RNA
Rfam family: Bacterial small subunit ribosomal RNA
Source: RNAcentral